Molecule: long non-coding RNA, 424 nt
Filed under: Setaria viridis
Lineage: Eukaryota; Viridiplantae; Streptophyta; Magnoliopsida; Poales; Poaceae
Description: long non-coding RNA (SVIR_LNC004551)
Source: RNAcentral
AGAAAUUUACUCAAACUCAUUUAUCUUUCAAUGGGGAGAGAUUGCAUGUAUGCAUGCUUUCAGGGGGAGUGCAUAUGUUCAGGGGGAGUUUUGUGAGCUUUUUAUGCUCUUGUGCUCUUUUGCCGAUUGUGUUGAGCUUUUUAUCUCUUCUUGAGUAGCCGACGGUUGAUUUGAGCUUGUGAUCUUCACAUGAUUGUUGUUUAGCACUUUUUCUGUCUUUUCUUGAGGGAUCAUGUGAUUUUAUCUCAGUUGUGUAGAGCCGUUGCCCUUGUCUUGGGGGACGAAGAUUUUCUAUUUUGAGUUUCAUGUUUUCUUUUCCAAACUAUGAAUUUGUCUUGGGUGUUAUCAAUGCACUCAUCAAGGGGGAGAUUGAGGACCAAUGGUGGUCACCCUUGGAUGAUCAGUGAUUGACAACGUUGUGUUG